Molecule: non-coding RNA, 128 nt
Filed under: Streptomyces sp.
Lineage: Bacteria; Bacillati; Actinomycetota; Actinomycetes; Kitasatosporales; Streptomycetaceae
Also listed under: 1 other name
Description: SAM-I sequence
Rfam family: SAM riboswitch aptamer (S box leader)
About the family: The SAM riboswitch is found upstream of a number of genes which code for proteins involved in methionine or cysteine biosynthesis in Gram-positive bacteria. The SAM riboswitch acts at the level of transcription termination control.
Source: RNAcentral
CGCUCAUCCAGAGGGACUGAGGGAACGGCCCGUUGAAGUCCCGGCAACCCCCCUGCCGACCGCGAGGUCACGGUGGGGAAGGUGCCAAUUCCGUCUCAUGGCGAAAUGCGCCAUGGGGAAGAUGAGGA